RNAcentral lists this ribosomal RNA (292 nucleotides) under uncultured bacterium. Its description in RNAcentral is "partial 16S ribosomal RNA". The record is from RNAcentral. RNAcentral also lists the same sequence under 1 other name.
GGACUACCGGGGUAUCUAAUCCUGUUUGCUCCCCACGCUUUCGUGCCUCAGCGUCAGUGUUGAUCCAGAUGGCCGCCUUCGCCACUGAUGUUCCUCCCGAUCUCUACGCAUUUCACCGCUACACCGGGAAUUCCACCAUCCUCUAUCACACUCUAGCUAUCCAGUAUCCAUUGCCAUUCCCAGGUUGAGCCCGGGGAUUUCACAACAGACUUAAAUAACCGCCUACGCACGCUUUACGCCCAGUAAUUCCGAUUAACGCUUGCACCCUUCGUAUUACCGCGGCUGCUGGCAC